AGUGAACGCUGGCGGUAGGCCUAACACAUGCAAGUCGAACGGCAGCACAGUAAGAGCUUGCUCUUACGGGUGGCGAGUGGCGGACGGGUGAGGAAUACAUCGGAAUCUACUUUUUCGUGGGGGAUAACGUAGGGAAACUUACGCUAAUACCGCAUACGACCUACGGGUGAAAGCAGGGGAUCUUCGGACCUUGCGCGAUUGAAUGAGCCGAUGUCGGAUUAGCUAGUUGGCGGGGUAAAGGCCCACCAAGGCGACGAUCCGUAGCUGGUCUGAGAGGAUGAUCAGCCACACUGGAACUGAGACACGGUCCAGACCCCGACGGGAGGCAGCAGGGGGGAAUAUUGGACAAUGGGCGCAAGCCUGAUCCAGCCAUACCGCGUGGGUGAAGAAGGCCUUCGGGUUGUAAAGCCCUUUUGUUGGGAAAGAAAAGCAGCAGGCUAAUACCCCGCUGUUCUGACGGUACCCAAAGAAUAAGCACCGGCUAACUUCGUG
RNAcentral lists this ribosomal RNA (492 nucleotides) under uncultured bacterium. RNAcentral describes it as "partial 16S ribosomal RNA". It matches the Rfam family "Bacterial small subunit ribosomal RNA", at positions 29 to 507 of the family's 1533-position model. The record is from RNAcentral.